Molecule: long non-coding RNA, 1767 nt
Filed under: Vigna radiata
Lineage: Eukaryota; Viridiplantae; Streptophyta; Magnoliopsida; Fabales; Fabaceae
Description: long non-coding RNA (VRAD_LNC011576)
Source: RNAcentral
UAAAUGUUGGUGACUCUAAAGGUACGUAUGAGAGGAAGGUAGAUGAAAUGAGCUUUGAAGGGUCAUUAAAUUAGGAGUUGUCCAUGUGCAGGAUGAGUUUGAGGAACUGGUGCUAAGGAUGGAGUACUAGAACAUGAGUGAUUUGAUGCACCAGCUUGGAGGCAAAGAAUGGAGGGAGGAGGUAGGAAGUGCAUUAGAGAAUGAAGAGUGGAAAGGAAAAGAUAGGGAAGAGAAAGUAGGCUAGGUUUUUUAUGGGUAAAAGAGAAAUUUAAAGAUUUAGGGAGAUGUAGGAAGGAAAAAAAGAGAUGCAAGAAGAAAAACCCAAUCCACAUUCAUCUUGGUUUUCACCUGUGAUUACUCAAGAAAUUCAUUGGGCGCCUAGUUACAUGUUAUCACAUCCCCACCACAAAAUGCCCUUAGUUGCCCCAUUGCAAUUUAGACUCUCGCAUUAUCAUUUGACCAUUGCAGCUAAUUCCCUGAGCUUUUAUUCAAUUGAAUUAUUUAGAUUCUUCAACUGCUAACUUAGAGGAUCUUACGGAAAAUAAAUAAAACUUUUCUUAGUUCAACCUUAAGGGCAAGGUUGCUUCCAGUGGAAGGAAUAUUGUAACACACAAAAUAAUGUUGAGUUGAAGACAUAAGGUUGAAAAAAUAAGAUUGAUUUAUUAUUCUCAAUCAUAAAAAAUACAUUAUCAUACCCUUUAUUUGUAAUAAUCUAUUCUCCUAAAAAGGGAAAUAGGAAAUCUAGGAAAAUAAAAUAAAAUAAAAGAUUAUGUAUCUAUUUCCUCUAAUUAGGAAUAUUCUAAAGAUAUUAUCUCAAAUUAGAACACUCUCCCUCAAGCUAGAUCAUACAAGUCAUAUGAACAGAGCUUGGAAUAGUCAAGCUCAAUUGUAGAGAACGUUGUUAAGUCUCUGGCAAGUGUACCAGAUCGUUAUCAAGUAAUAUAAAACGGGUAAGUUCGAGUAUCGUUUUCCCAAAGGACUCUUAGGCCUUAACUUUCAUGUAAAUAGAUCGCAUAAGACUUGAGAAAGAAAUUGGUUUUAGGUUUUGUAUGCAAAGAACGAAAAUAAACAUGCACAAUGCAAUUGAAUCAGUUGGCAAGGAAAAACUAUGGAUGAAUGAAGUUGUUGGGGUUUACAAUUUCAUCUUAUCCACCCUCUUAUAUCUACUCUUCUUAUUUAAUUUGCUUUAUUAUCAUAUUGUCAUGCAAACUUUCUUAGUCUACCAUAAACCCAAUCUCUUGACGAAAAGAGCCUAUUACUAAUUACUGACUUACUAUCUCUAGUCUCCCCUAGUAACUAGCAAUGCAUGAUAAACGGAAGCAAAAUACAAUUGAUUGUCCUACCCUUAUCUUUAGGCAGUAUUAGCUUAAUCAAGGAAUUCCCCCCAGUUCAUGACAUUAUGUACGUCUCUCUAUCAAUAAAGACAAACAACAUUUACCGAAUGAGUUAAAUGAUAAAAGCAUUAAGCAAAGGUAAAGAACCCAACAAUUGAUAAUAUAAGCAUAUGCAAGCAUAUAAAGAAAAUAAGAAUUUUGAUAUAAGUUUCAAAAGAUUACAUUGUUCCCCAACAACAAAGGGUUUAGUUCACCAUUGACAUGGUGAAACUAGAUUGAAUAAAAUGAAAGAAUGGAAGAAUAAACCCUAAAUUUGGUAGAUUGGAACUAAGGUGUGUAGAACAGCUCUAGACGUCUCUGCCUGCCAAAAGAUUACUUUGGAAAUCGCACUGGGUCUCCAUGAGUAACAUAUGAGAGGUCUUUAAAGGCUAAC